Molecule: ribosomal RNA, 468 nt
Filed under: uncultured bacterium
Lineage: Bacteria
Description: partial 16S ribosomal RNA
Rfam family: Bacterial small subunit ribosomal RNA
Source: RNAcentral
GACGAACGCUGGCGGCGUGCUUAACACAUGCAAGUCGAACGGAAAGGCCCUGCUUUUGUGGGGUGCUCGAGUGGCGAACGGGUGAGUAACACGUGAGUAACCUGCCCUUGCCUUUGGGAUAACUUCAGGAAACUGGGGCUAAUACCGGAUAGGAGCUCCUGCUGCAUGGUGGGGGUUGGAAAGUUUCGGCGGUUGGGGAGGGACUCGCGGCUUAUCAGCUUGUUGGUGGGGUAGUGGCUUACCAAGGCUUUGACGGGUAGCCGGCCUGAGAGGGUGACCGGCGACAUUGGGACGGAGAUACGGCCCAGACUCCUACGGGAGGCAGAAGUGGGGAAUAGUGCACAAGGGGCGGAGGCCUGAUGCAGCAACGCCGCGUGCGGGAUGACGGCCUUCGGGUUGUAAACCGCUUUCGCCUGUGACGAAGCGUGAGUGACGGUAAUGGGUAAAGAAGCACCGGCUAACUACGUG